GGUCUGUUAGCGUAGGGGUUAGUGCGCUUGUUUUGCGUUAUCUUUUAUAAAUAAUCUAGACUUAUUCAUAAGGGUUUUUUAGUAAGAGGUCGUGGGUUUAAAUCCUAUAUAGGCCA
Immersiella caudata is the source of this 116-nucleotide non-coding RNA. Lineage: Eukaryota; Fungi; Ascomycota; Sordariomycetes; Sordariales; Lasiosphaeriaceae. The record is from the annotation of a GenBank genome assembly.